GGCGAGAUAGCUCAGUUGGUAGAGCAGACGGCUCAUAUCCGUCCGGUCAUAGGUCCGAGUCCUAUUCUCGCUA
RNAcentral lists this transfer RNA (73 nucleotides) under Spirochaetaceae bacterium. RNAcentral describes it as "tRNA-Met". It matches the Rfam family "tRNA". Rfam says of the family: Transfer RNA (tRNA) molecules are approximately 80 nucleotides in length. The record is from RNAcentral. Lineage: Bacteria; Pseudomonadati; Spirochaetota; Spirochaetia; Spirochaetales; Spirochaetaceae.